UAACUGCCAACUGUACGGGCAGUCUUCCCGU
Molecule: small RNA, 31 nt
Filed under: Bombyx mori (domestic silkworm)
Lineage: Eukaryota; Metazoa; Arthropoda; Insecta; Lepidoptera; Bombycidae
Description: ovarian small RNA-19012
Source: RNAcentral